This 788-nucleotide long non-coding RNA is filed under the name Mytilus galloprovincialis (Mediterranean mussel). The record is from RNAcentral. Lineage: Eukaryota; Metazoa; Mollusca; Bivalvia; Mytilida; Mytilidae.
UUUUUAUUUAAAAAUUUAUUUAAAAAAAUGUUAGCAUUCAAACUUAAAUCAUUCAGCAUUCCAUCACAUAUGUUAAAAAGUUGUAUAAAGUGCUAUAUGUUUCCUGCUACAUGUUCAAUCAAAUUAAUCUGAUUUACUAUAAACAUUGAUUGUUUGUAGCUUAACGUACAGUGGCAAAUAUUUCAUGAAUACGCAAGACGAGUAAAAUAUAACAUGUGCAGGCUUUAGGAAUAAUCAAAAUCGGUAAUCUGGUUAUAGUUUAUAGCUUCAUUAUAAACAAUGAAAAACGCACGAAAAUAUGACAACGUUUUCAAUGUUCUAUACAUUAGUCGACUUUAUCUGAUGCAACACUAUGUACAGUCAUGCAGAGUGAAACUCAUCGUCUUUGUUAUAUUGAAACAUAUUAGCCAGUCACAAUUAUUCAUGCAUUCAAUUUAGUUUAAUCCCGAUAGAAGUUUUCCACAAUUAUAAUUAUUAUAAGGUCUCCGAGUCAGUUUUGCCAGAGACAUAUUAUAUGUCUCUGGUUUUGCCACACUUUUCCUGAUAAGAGUUAUCUCUCUUUAUCAAUCAUUACGAACUUGUUGCUAAAACAAUACAUUCCCUGUUCUUCUGUAAUUUACUUAAAAGUCGCUCUUCUUUACUUUUCAGAUAUCUUAUCCUUAGUCCUUUUAAUUUAUAGCCCACAAUUACACCAAGAAUGAAUGUUAUUCCGCCGAAAAUAAGCGCACUUUUACCAGAUACUCUACCCGGCGUAUCCGACAUUGUGUCAGCUAAGGGGAAGUAAGCAA